RNAcentral lists this ribosomal RNA (491 nucleotides) under Variovorax sp. Its description in RNAcentral is "bacterial SSU rRNA". It matches the Rfam family "Bacterial small subunit ribosomal RNA", at positions 25 to 511 of the family's 1533-position model. The record is from RNAcentral. Lineage: Bacteria; Pseudomonadati; Pseudomonadota; Betaproteobacteria; Burkholderiales; Comamonadaceae.
CAGAUUGAACGCUGGCGGCAUGCCUUACACAUGCAAGUCGAACGGCAGCGCGGGAGCAAUCCUGGCGGCGAGUGGCGAACGGGUGAGUAAUACAUCGGAACGUGCCCAAUCGUGGGGGAUAACGCAGCGAAAGCUGUGCUAAUACCGCAUACGAUCUACGGAUGAAAGCAGGGGACCGCAAGGCCUUGCGCGAAUGGAGCGGCCGAUGGCAGAUUAGGUAGUUGGUGAGGUAAAGGCUCACCAAGCCUUCGAUCUGUAGCUGGUCUGAGAGGACGACCAGCCACACUGGGACUGAGACACGGCCCAGACUCCUACGGGAGGCAGCAGUGGGGAAUUUUGGACAAUGGGCGCAAGCCUGAUCCAGCCAUGCCGCGUGCAGGAUGAAGGCCUUCGGGUUGUAAACUGCUUUUGUACGGAACGAAACGGCUCUUUCUAAUAAAGAGGGCUAAUGACGGUACCGUAAGAAUAAGCACCGGCUAACUACGUGCCAG